UAAAGAUUCAUCGCUGAUAGAUAGGCAUGCGUUCCAUUAGGCAGUUGGCGGGGUAACGGCCCACCAAACCGACGAUGGAUAGGGGUUCUGAGAGGAAGGUCCCCCACAUUGGUACUGAGACACGGACCAAACUCCCACGGGAGGCAGCAGUGAGGAAUAUUGGUCAAUGGGCGUAAGCCUGAACCAGCCAAGUCGCGUGAGAGAUGAAGGUUCUAUGGAUCGUAAACCUCUUUUAUAAGGGAAUAAAGUGUGGGACGUGUCCUAUUUUGUAUGUACCUUAUGAAUAAGGAUCGGCUAACUCCGUGCCAGCAGCCGCGGUAAUACGGAGGAUCCGAGCGUUAUCCGGAUUUAUUGGGUUUAAAGGGUGCGUAGGCGGCCUUUUAAGUCAGCGGUGAAAGUCUGUGGCUCAACCAUAGAAUUGCCGUUGAAACUGGGGGGCUUGAGUAUGUUUGAGGCAGGCGGAAUGCGUGGUGUAGCGGUGAAAUGCUUAGAUAUCACGCAGAACCCCGAUUGCGAAGGCAGCCUGCCAAGCCAUGACUGACGCUGAUGCACGAAAGCGUGGGGAUCAAACAGGAUUAGAUACCCUGGUAGUCCACGCAGUAAACGAUGAUCACUAGCUGUUUGCGAUACAGUGUAA
Molecule: ribosomal RNA, 637 nt
Filed under: uncultured bacterium
Lineage: Bacteria
Description: bacterial SSU rRNA
Rfam family: Bacterial small subunit ribosomal RNA
Source: RNAcentral